UUGAUUAAGGUUGGAUUAGGAUCAGGAUUUGGUUAGAAUUUAAGGUUCUAUUAGAUUUUUGUUAGGGUUUGACUAAGUUUUCUUUAAUAUUCUUUUAUAUUUCUUUCAGAUUUCCUUGUGUUUCUUUUAUAACUUCAAUAAAAUUUAAUUGAGCUUGCUUAAUGUUUGAUUAUGAUUGUUAAUGUUUAAUUGUAAAUUCUCUAUAAUCCUAUUGGAUUGUUAGGACCUUUUGUUGCAAUUUUCUUUUACCU
This 251-nucleotide long non-coding RNA is filed under the name Physcomitrium patens. Its description in RNAcentral is "long non-coding RNA (PPAT_LNC000312)". Lineage: Eukaryota; Viridiplantae; Streptophyta; Bryopsida; Funariales; Funariaceae. The record is from RNAcentral.